Molecule: non-coding RNA, 27 nt
Filed under: Rattus norvegicus (Norway rat)
Lineage: Eukaryota; Metazoa; Chordata; Mammalia; Rodentia; Muridae
Source: RNAcentral
UCCAGCUCUCAGAUCUUAACACUAUAA